This is a long non-coding RNA of Melospiza melodia melodia, 2179 nucleotides long. RefSeq lists it as uncharacterized. NCBI's taxonomy places the organism in Eukaryota, Metazoa, Chordata, Aves, Passeriformes, Passerellidae. The record is from RefSeq and is a predicted model, not a curated record. The transcript has 2 exons.
CACCCCGGUCACCCCGGUGAUCCCAGCCACCUUGUCCACCCUGGCCCCCCCGACCACCCCAUCAUCACAAUGACCUCGGCCACUCUGGUCGCCCCGGCCAGCCGAUGACCCCGGUCACCCCCAUCAUCCCGGCCACCCCAUCAUCGGUGACUUUGGCCAGCCCAGCGACACCAGUGACCCCCGUCACCCUCCCUGUUCAUCCUGGUGAUCCCACCCUGACCAACCAAUCACCCUGACCAUCCUGGUUACCCCGGCCAUGCCAGCCACCUCUACCACCCCAGCGACCUUGGUCGCCAGCCCCGGACACCCCAUCCGGUCCCUGCGUGUGGAAGCACACUGACAUUACUACUGAUUGUUAGACCCUGUGGUAGCCUGUGGGUGAUGGGUUGGUGGGGAUUUGCUGCAGACUUUGGUGGUGCUCAUGCUGCACUCAAACAGAGCAAAGAAUGCCCAGCCCUGGAAAGAGGGGUCUGCUCCAGGAUAGGGAUCUGCUCUGAGAAAUACAGAUCUGCUCAGACAGGGAAGACAGGGAAGCUCAAAACUGUAUAUGGAGGGUAAAGGAUGCCCCAGAACGGCCAUAAGGCAGUGUCCCAGCAACCUGGACAUGGCUUUGAAACUGUCCCCAAGCCAUCUGGUGCGAUGGAUCAGUCACUCCAUCCAGCACGACCAGCUCCAGGGACACCUGGAUCCGGGAACAGGCGAGAGCUGCUUUGCAGGGUCUGAAGGGUUAGCAGUGGGUGCUGGGGAUCAAUCAUCUUGUACCUGAACAAUCAAAAGGUGUAAGAAUCUCAUUCUAGUGACAGGAUCUGGGGGAAUGGCUUGAGCUCUGUCGCUGUCAGGGAAGGUUUAGUUUGAUAUCAGAAAAAGGUUCUUCCUCCAGAGGGUGCUGGGGCACUGAACAACUCCUCAGGGAAUGCUCAUAGCCCCGGGGCUGCCAGAGCUCCAGCAGCACUGUUCAACGCUCUCAGGCUCAAGGUGACAUUAUUGGGGUGUCUGUGCAGGGCCAGGAGCUGGACUUGAUGAUCCCUGUAGGUCCCUUCCAACUCAGGAUAUUCCAUAAUUCUACAAUACUUGAACCUGUGGAAAGGCACAUUCAGGAGCCUCAGUUUGGCAGGAAUGCAGGAGCAAACAUUUACCUUGGUGGUGGUGUUUUAUUCCCUGACUUCUGACUGGCAUAGGCUGGUUGUGCAUUUUGGUGACAGGCCCAAGGAGUGGGUCCCUGGUGACCGUUUGCAGUUUGCAGGAGCCACUGCUGGGCUGUGUGCAGAGUGGCUGAGCCCUUCAGAUUCCUUGCUCCCCUUGGUCCUGGGCAGUGUCCCUCCCUAGCAGACUGGGCACACAGUCCCCAUGCCAGCUCACAGCCCUGGGCAGCUGGAAAGACCAGGGCUGACCUGCUGCCUGCACAAAGGUCUUCAGCUGCUUUUUGUACUCCCAUUUCCCUCUCCAGCAGCCUCUCACCACGGCUGCCUGCUCGGCUCUGGCUGUGCUGUUCUCUCAGAGAGGGUCCCUGUGUCAGCCAGCAACCAACCCAUCCACCUCAAACUCUCUUGGAAGGAUGAGCCACAAAGACCCUGAACACUCACUGCUCACCCUCUUCAGGCAUACAGAGUUUUCCUGUGGGGACAUCCUGGCAGGACUCUCCUGUACUGAUGGAGUUUGUUGUGCAGCAUCACGGUUUCCACAGGAGGACAACUCUGCCACAGCCUUAACUGAGAUAAGCUGAGAGAGCUGGGACUGUUCAGUCUGGAAAAGAGAAAGUUUCAGUAUCUGAAGGGGGCUACGAGGAAGCUCAGGAACUGAGCUUUUCAUCAGGAACUGGAUAGAUGUAGAGGCUUGGCUGCAGGAGAAAGGACACAGGCUUCUGCAGGGAUGGCAUAACCCAGGCCUGAAGCUAGCAGAGAGUCCUUGAAUUGCCCUUGGACUAUGAGAUAAGAGGAAGUUGGCUGGUUGCACCAUGAUAGCAGGAUGUGCCAGCAGGAUAUCUGUAAACCGCAAGGCAGAAAUAUUGCAGAAAUAAGCAGGAGCACGAAGAGCUGGCCUGUACCAAUCAUAGUACUGGUUAGGGCACCUGAACAGCCACUUGUAACCAAUAAUAUGUAAGCUUAAGCCACGUGAAUAGCUGGCAAUGGUAUAUAAGAGCAUGCCAAUUAGCAAUAAAGAGAACAAGAUGUAUACCUCA